AAUAAACGCUGGCGGCGUGCCUAACACAUGCAAGUCGAGCGAGAAAGCUUCUUCGGAAGUAAGUAGAGCGGCGAACGGGUGAGUUACGCGUGAGAAUCUACCUUUUAGUGAAGGAUACCUUUGAGAAAUCGAAGUUAAUACUGCAUAAGUCCCUACGGGGAGAAAGAUGGCCUCUUUGCUGUCGCUAGAAGAUGAGCUUGCGUGCUAUUAGCUAGUUGGUGGGGUAAAGGCCUACCAAGGCGAUGGUGGCUAGCCGGCCUGAGAGGGUGUACGGCCACACUGGAACUUAGACACGGUCCAGACUUCUACGGGAGGCAGCAGUGAGGAAUAUUGCGCAAUGGGCGAAAGCCUGACGCAGCGACGCCGCGUGGAGGAUGAAGGUCUUUGGAUUGUAAACUCCUGUUAAGUGGGAAGAAACAUCUGUUUUUAAUAGAAGCAGAUAAUGACGGUACCAUUAGAGAAAGCACUGGCUAACCUCGUGCCAGCAGCCGCGGUAAUACGAGGGGUGCAAGCGUUAUUCGGAAUUAUUGGGCGUAAAGGGUGCGUAGGCGGCGUACUAAGUCAACUGUUAAAUUCCUCGGCCUAACCGAGGCCCUGCAGUAGAUACUGGUAUGCUAGAGGGUGGAAGAGAGAAGUGGAAUUCUCGGAGUAGCGGUAAAAUGCGUAGAUCUCGAGAGGAACACCAAUGGCGAAGGCAGCUUCUUGGUCCACACCUGACGCUGAGGCACGAAAGCGUGGGGAGCAAACAGGAUUAGAUACCCUGGUAGUCCACGCUGUAAACGAUGAUCACUAGACGUUAGUUUUGCAUUGGCAAAUUAGUGUCGUAGCUAACGCGUAAGUGAUUCGCCUGGGGGAGUACGGUCGCAGGACUAAAACUCAAAGGAUUGACGGGGGUCCGCACAAGCGGUGGAACAUGUGUUUAUUUCGACACUACGCGAGGGAACUUUUACUAGCUUGACAUGUUUUUGACAGUUGUAGAAAUACAAUCUUCCGGGCUUCGGUUCGGACAAUUACACAGGUGCUGCAUGGCUGUCGUCAGCUCGUGUCGUGAGAUGUUUGGUUAAGUCCUCUAACGAGCGCAACUCCUGUCGUCAGUUGCUACUUCUAACGAAGGCACUCUGACGAGACUGCCUGGGAAACCAGGAGGAAGGUGGGAAUGACGUCAAGUCCUCAUGGUCCUUAUGCCUAGGGCUACACACGUGUUACAAUGGCUAGUACAGAGGGUUGCAAAGUCGUAAGAUGAAGCUAAUCCCAGAAAACUAGUCUAAGUUCGGAUUGAGGUCUGCAACUCGACCUCAUGAAGUUGAAAUCGCUAGUAAUCGCAUAUCAGAACGAUGCGGUGAAUACGUUCUCGGACCUUGUACACACCGCCCGUCACACCACGAAAGUUGUUUGUACCCAAAGCCAUUUUAGCUAACCUGUAAAGGAGGCGGAUGUCUAAGGUAUGAAGAGUAAUUGGGGUG
Molecule: ribosomal RNA, 1463 nt
Filed under: uncultured bacterium
Lineage: Bacteria
Description: bacterial SSU rRNA
Rfam family: Bacterial small subunit ribosomal RNA
Source: RNAcentral